GGGCUGGUAGCUCAGUUUGGCAGAGCGACGGACUCUUAAUCCGUCGGUCGCGUGUUCGAAUCGCGUCCAGCCCG
This 74-nucleotide transfer RNA is filed under the name Halonotius terrestris. It matches the Rfam family "tRNA". Rfam says of the family: Transfer RNA (tRNA) molecules are approximately 80 nucleotides in length. The record is from Rfam by way of RNAcentral. Lineage: Archaea; Methanobacteriati; Methanobacteriota; Halobacteria; Halobacteriales; Haloferacaceae.